GAUGAACGCUGGCGGCGUGCCUAAUACAUGCAAGUCGAGCGAACGGACGCGAAGCUUGCUUCUCUGUUGUUAGCGGCGGACGGGUGUGUAACACGUGGAACCUCUCCCUAUAAUACUGGGAUCACUUCGGGACACCGGCGCUUAUCCCGGAUAAUCUUCUGCACCGCAUGGUUCAUAAGUGAAAGACGGUCUUGCUGUCACUUAUCGCUGGUUCCGCGCUGCAUUAGCUAGUUGGUAAGUUAACGGCUUUUCAAGGCUACGAUGCCUAGCCGACCUGAGAGAGGGAUCGGCCACACUGGAACGGAGCCACGGUCCAGACGCCUACGGGACGCAGCAGUAGGGAAUCUGCCGCAGUAGUCGAAAGCCUUACAGAGCAACGCCACGUGAGAGAUGAAGGUGUUGGGAUCGGGAAACUCGGUUAUGAGGUGUGAACAGAUGUCUAAGGAACUGUACACAGCGUGACGGUAAUGAAUCAAAAAGCCACGGCUAACUACGUG
RNAcentral lists this ribosomal RNA (497 nucleotides) under uncultured bacterium. Its description in RNAcentral is "partial 16S ribosomal RNA". It matches the Rfam family "Bacterial small subunit ribosomal RNA", at positions 28 to 507 of the family's 1533-position model. The record is from RNAcentral.